RNAcentral lists this ribosomal RNA (478 nucleotides) under uncultured bacterium. RNAcentral's name for it is "partial 16S ribosomal RNA". It matches the Rfam family "Bacterial small subunit ribosomal RNA", at positions 28 to 507 of the family's 1533-position model. The record is from RNAcentral.
GAUGAACGCUGGCGGCGUGCUUAACACAUGCAAGUCGAACGAGAAAUGUAGACGGAAACCUUCGGGCGGAAGCCUUCAUUUCGAGUGGCGGACGGGUGAGUAACGCGUGGGUAACCUGCCUCAUACAGGGGGAUAACAGUUGGAAACGACUGUUAAUACCGCAUAAGACCACAGCAUCGCAUGAUGCGGGGGUAAAAACUCCGGUGGUAUGAGAUGGACCCGCGUUCGAUUAGCCAGUUGGCGGGGUAACGGCCCACCAAAGCGACGAUCGGUAGCCGAUCUGAGAGGAUGACCGGCCACAUUGGGACUGAGACACGGCCCAAACUCCUACGGGAGGCAGCAGUGGGGAAUAUUGCACAAUGGGGGAAACCCUGAUGCAGCGACGCCGCGUGAGUGAAGAAGUACUUCGGUAUGUAAAGCUCUAUCAGCAGGGAAGAAAAUGACGGUACCUGAGUAAGAAGCCCCGGCUAACUACGUG